Molecule: ribosomal RNA, 490 nt
Filed under: uncultured bacterium
Lineage: Bacteria
Description: partial 16S ribosomal RNA
Rfam family: Bacterial small subunit ribosomal RNA
Source: RNAcentral
GAUGAACGCUCGCUACAGGCUUAACACAUGCAAGUCGAGGGGAAACGAUGAGAGAGCUUGCUCUCUUAGGCGUCGACCGGCGCACGGGUGAGUAACGCGUAUCCAACCUACCCAUUACAGGGGGAUAACCUUGCGAAAGUAAGACUAAUACCCCAUGGCAUUUUAUGGUGGCAUCAUUAUAGGAUUAAAGAUUUAUUGGUAAUUGAUGGGGAUGCGUCUGAUUAGCUUGUUGGCGGGGUAACGGCCCACCAAGGCAACGAUCAGUAGGGGUUCUGAGAGGAAGGUCCCCCACAUUGGAACUGAGACACGGUCCAAACUCCUACGGGAGGCAGCAGUGAGGAAUAUUGGUCAAUGGGCGAGAGCUUGAACCAGCCAAGUAGCGUGCAGGAUGACGGCCCUAUGGGUUGUAAACUGCUUUUAUAGGGGAAUAAAGUGAGCUACGUGUAGUUUAUUGCAUGUACCCUAUGAAUAAGGACCGGCUAAUUCCGUG